RNAcentral lists this long non-coding RNA (261 nucleotides) under Mytilus galloprovincialis (Mediterranean mussel). Lineage: Eukaryota; Metazoa; Mollusca; Bivalvia; Mytilida; Mytilidae. The record is from RNAcentral.
GCGCAAUAUCAAUCUGAUAACUAAAUAUAAAAUGAACGGAGGCAAAUAUUAUAUAUGAAAACAUAAUUCGUUGAGUAAGCUACACAACUAUCAAAGUAACAUAAAUAGAUGACGCUCGUUUUAUUAUAAACAAUGUAAAUUUCACACCAGCAAACAACAUAAAAUAUACAAAAUAAAACUUGCUAUAUAAUUUGCAAGUGACAAACAAGUAGAAAACUCAACAAUUAGUUUACUUGAAAAUAAUUAGACAUCAAAACACGA